Pongo abelii (Sumatran orangutan) is the source of this 148-nucleotide unclassified non-coding RNA. It matches the Rfam family "Metazoan signal recognition particle RNA". From Rfam's summary of the family: The signal recognition particle (SRP) is a universally conserved ribonucleoprotein. The record is from Ensembl. Lineage: Eukaryota; Metazoa; Chordata; Mammalia; Primates; Hominidae.
GCCGGGCAUGGUGGCCCAUGCCUGUAAUCCCAGCUACUCAGGAGGCUGAGGCAGGAGAAUUGCUUGAACCUGGGAGACGGAGGUUGCAGUGAGCCGAGAUCGCGCCACUGCACUCCAGCCUGGGUGACAGAGCGAAACUCCGUCUCAA